RNAcentral lists this ribosomal RNA (328 nucleotides) under uncultured eukaryote. RNAcentral's name for it is "partial 18S ribosomal RNA". It matches the Rfam family "Eukaryotic small subunit ribosomal RNA", at positions 1470 to 1796 of the family's 1831-position model. The record is from RNAcentral.
CCCUUAGAUGUCCGGGGCUGCACGCGCGCUACACUGAAGGAAUCAGCGUGCUAAAACCAUUGUCGAAAGGCAUUGGUAAACCCAUUAAAAUCCUACGUGAUUGGGAUCGGGAAUUGCAGUUAUUUCCCUUGAACGAGGAAUUCCCAGUAAGUGUGGGUCAUAAGCUCGCGUUGAUUACGUCCCUGCCCUUUGUACACACCGCCCGUCGCUGCCCGGGACUGAGCCGUUUCGAGAAAAGCGGGGACUGCUGCUGUCGGGGCUUUCGGGCCUUGGCUUCGGUGGAAACCGCUUUAAUCGCAGUGGCUUGAACCGGGCAAAAGUCGUANCA